UUUCCCUAUUCUGACUUACCUGCUUUGCAUCACUUUUCCGGAAUUUGGGGCCAGUGUAGACGUAGCCACAGAGUCCAAUUUUUCUGAUUUUUUUCCAGUUUGGUCUUGUUGACCCUCUGCUUUUGUCCCAAUAAUUUAGAGAGUGAAACUUUGUACUUAUGGUAUUUGUGAGCACAACUGAUAUUAUUUAUAACCCUUUAAGGUUGGCUUAACUCUGCUACCAUUCAAAUCCAUGGUCAACAAUGGUUAGAGAACAGUUAAGCCAGUCCUGAGCAUUUUGAAAAACUGCACUCCAGCUGUCUACCUAAUUGUGCCAUAAUUGCACCUACAAAUCAGGCUCUCAGCCCCUUGCUUUCACUGGUACCACCAUGAAGCAUAACCAUAGACUUCACCUUGCAGUGACAACAAAAGCCAGCUAAAGAGACAUAGAAGAAUCUGAUAUUCCAAACAGGACCAUUGGUGGCAUGGGAUGGAUUCCAUCACAUUGAUCAUGUUUGUACAUCACAAGCAAUUUGAUCUGAGGAAGUGGGUCUGGCCCACGAAAGCUCAUCACCUAAUAAACCAACUUGUUAGUCUUUAAAGUGCUGCAUAGUCCUGUAUUUUAUUUCAGCUAGACUAGACUAACAUGGUUACAUUUCUAUUACUAAAGUAAAUAUAGUGAUCCCAGAAUUC
This is a non-coding RNA of Pelodiscus sinensis (Chinese soft-shelled turtle), 672 nucleotides long. Lineage: Eukaryota; Metazoa; Chordata; Testudines; Trionychidae. The record is from RefSeq and is a predicted model, not a curated record.